RNAcentral lists this ribosomal RNA (413 nucleotides) under Babesia divergens. RNAcentral describes it as "SSU rRNA". It matches the Rfam family "Eukaryotic small subunit ribosomal RNA", at positions 538 to 1001 of the family's 1831-position model. Lineage: Eukaryota; Apicomplexa; Aconoidasida; Piroplasmida; Babesiidae. The record is from RNAcentral.
AGAGUAACAAUUGGAGGGCAAGUCUGGUGCCAGCAGCCGCGGUAAUUCCAGCUCCAAUAGCGUAUAUUAAACUUGUUGCAGUUAAAAAGCUCGUAGUUGAAUUUUUGCGUGGUGUUAAUAUUGACUAAUGUCGAGAUUGCACUUCGCUUUUGGGAUUUAUCCCUUUUUACUUUGAGAAAAUUAGAGUGUUUCAAGCAGACUUUUGUCUUGAAUACUUCAGCAUGGAAUAAUAGAGUAGGACUUUGGUUCUAUUUUGUUGGUUUGUGAACCUUAGUAAUGGUUAAUAGGAACGGUUGGGGGCAUUCGUAUUUAACUGUCAGAGGUGAAAUUCUUAGAUUUGUUAAAGACGAACUACUGCGAAAGCAUUUGCCAAGGACGUUUUCAUUAAUCAAGAACGAAAGUUAGGGGAUCGA